GUCUUCGAGUCGUUGAUUUCACACUGCCGAGAAAAGCCUCUAGAUAGAAAAUAGGUGCCCGUACCGCAAACCGACACAGGUAGUCAAGAUGAGAAUUCUAAGGUGAGCGAGCGAACUCUCGUUAAGGAACUCGGCAAAAUGACCCCGUAACUUCGGGAGAAGGGGUGCUCUUUAGGGUUAACGCCCAGAAGAGCCGCAGUGAAUAGGCCCAAGCGACUGUUUAUCAAAAACACAGGUCUCUGCUAAACCGUAAGGUGAUGUAUAGGGGCUGACGCCUGCCCGGUGCUGGAAGGUUAAGAGGAGUGGUUAGCUUCUGCGAAGCUACGAAUCGAAGCCCCAGUAAACGGCGGCCGUAACUAUAACGGUCCUAAGGUAGCGAAAUUCCUUGUCGGGUAAGUUCCGACCCGCACGAAAGGCGUAACGAUUUGGGCACUGUCUCAACGAGAGACUCGGUGAAAUCAUAGUACCUGUGAAGAUGCAGGUUACCCGCGACAGGACGGAAAGACCCCGUGGAGCUUUACUGUAGCCUGAUAUUGAAAUUCGGCACAGCUUGUACAGGAUAGGUAGGAGCCUUUGAAACGUGAGCGCUAGCUUACGUGGAGGCGCUGGUGGGAUACUACCCUAGCUGUGUUGGCUUUCUAACCCGC
Molecule: ribosomal RNA, 647 nt
Filed under: Staphylococcus aureus
Lineage: Bacteria; Bacillati; Bacillota; Bacilli; Caryophanales; Staphylococcaceae
Description: partial 23S ribosomal RNA
Rfam family: Bacterial large subunit ribosomal RNA
Source: RNAcentral